RNAcentral lists this ribosomal RNA (897 nucleotides) under Salmonella enterica subsp. enterica serovar Weltevreden. RNAcentral describes it as "bacterial LSU rRNA". It matches the Rfam family "Bacterial large subunit ribosomal RNA", at positions 593 to 1303 of the family's 2925-position model. Lineage: Bacteria; Pseudomonadati; Pseudomonadota; Gammaproteobacteria; Enterobacterales; Enterobacteriaceae. The record is from RNAcentral.
GUGACUGCGUACCUUUUGUAUAAUGGGUCAGCGACUUAUAUUCUGUAGCAAGGUUAACCGAAUAGGGGAGCCGGAGGGAAACCGAGUCUUAACCGGGCGUUAAGUUGCAGGGUAUAGACCCGAAACCCGGUGAUCUAGCCAUGGGCAGGUUGAAGGUUGGGUAACACUAACUGGAGGACCGAACCGACUAAUGUUGAAAAAUUAGCGGAUGACCUGUGGCUGGGGGUGAAAGGCCAAUCAAACCGGGAGAUAGCUGGUUCUCCCCGAAAGCUAUUUAGGUAGCGCCUCGUGAAUUCAUCUCCGGGGGUAGAGCACUGUUUCGGCUAGGGGGCCAUCCCGGCUUACCAACCCGAUGCAAACUGCGAAUACCGGAGAAUGUUAUCACGGGAGACACACGGCGGGUGCUAACGUCCGUCGUGAAGAGGGAAACAACCCAGACCGCCAGCUAAGGUCCCAAAGUCAUGGUUAAGUGGGAAACGAUGUGGGAAGGCCCAGACAGCCAGGAUGUUGGCUUAGAAGCAGCCAUCAUUUAAAGAAAGCGUAAUAGCUCACUGGUCGAGUCGGCCUGCGCGGAAGAUGUAACGGGGCUAAACCAUGCACCGAAGCUGCGGCAGCGANAAGCAGCCAUCAUUUAAAGAAAGCGUAAUAGCUCACUGGUCGAGUCGGCCUGCGCGGAAGAUGUAACGGGGCUAAACCAUGCACCGAAGCUGCGGCAGCGAACGUAUCACCCAAGACAACUUUACGGAGUUGACGAUUGACGGAGCGAAGCGACGUCAAAGCGUUCAUUAAAGUCGAGUUGGCUUAGGGAUACGUUCGUUGGGUAGGGGAGCGUUCUGUAAGCCUGCGAAGGUGGCCUGUGAGGGUUGCUGGAGGUAUCAGAAGUGCGAAUGCUGACAU